GGUGAGUAAAUCUAUUCAUCAAUAAAUCAAUGUUUUCACAAUCAAACACUUGAAAGAUUUCGGAAGUGAAUCCAGAUGAACAUAUUUGUUAAUGGGGAAAAUUAGUACUGUGAUAACAUUAAAGUUGAGGAAAUUGGAAAAUUAACUGUCGAAUUUUAACAUUACUAACUUGGAUACAUCCCUUCGAAUUUUCUUGGAUGGCUCUGGUUUUGGCCUCGAUUGUUCAUGCUCACUGUGAUCGUUUAUGCGGUGCUACGUUAACGCCGAACCUCGGUAUUCCGGUAGUUGACGAUAUUAAUCUGGACAACAUAUCGUAUCAGUCGUGAUUCGUCGAUGGACGAACCGAUCGGAAAAUAGUCAUCACAAAUAUACACGAAGCGCACGGGACGCGAUCAGGAUGGAUAAAAAAUCAAAAAAUGUAUAUAUACGGUUGGCAGCCAGUGCCAAAUUGGGUUGGGCACAAAUUAUGUAUAUAAAAUAUACAAAAUUGCGGUAAAAAUUAACAA
Aphis gossypii (cotton aphid) is the source of this 506-nucleotide long non-coding RNA. RefSeq lists it as uncharacterized. The record is from RefSeq and is a predicted model, not a curated record. Lineage: Eukaryota; Metazoa; Arthropoda; Insecta; Hemiptera; Aphididae. The transcript is spliced from 2 exons.